RNAcentral lists this ribosomal RNA (2933 nucleotides) under Escherichia coli. Its description in RNAcentral is "23S ribosomal RNA". It matches the Rfam family "Bacterial large subunit ribosomal RNA". The record is from RNAcentral. Lineage: Bacteria; Pseudomonadati; Pseudomonadota; Gammaproteobacteria; Enterobacterales; Enterobacteriaceae.
GGGUUGUGAGGUUAAGCGACUAAGCGUACACGGUGGAUGCCCUGGCAGUCAGAGGCGAUGAAGGACGUGCUAAUCUGCGAUAAGCGUCGGUAAGGUGAUAUGAACCGUUAUAACCGGCGAUUUCCGAAUGGGGAAACCCAGUGUGAUUCGUCACACUAUCAUUAACUGAAUCCAUAGGUUAAUGAGGCGAACCGGGGGAACUGAAACAUCUAAGUACCCCGAGGAAAAGAAAUCAACCGAGAUUCCCCCAGUAGCGGCGAGCGAACGGGGAGCAGCCCAGAGCCUGAAUCAGUGUGUGUGUUAGUGGAAGCGUCUGGAAAGGCGCGCGAUACAGGGUGACAGCCCCGUACACAAAAAUGCACAUGCUGUGAGCUCGAUGAGUAGGGCGGGACACGUGGUAUCCUGUCUGAAUAUGGGGGGACCAUCCUCCAAGGCUAAAUACUCCUGACUGACCGAUAGUGAACCAGUACCGUGAGGGAAAGGCGAAAAGAACCCCGGCGAGGGGAGUGAAAAAGAACCUGAAACCGUGUACGUACAAGCAGUGGGAGCACAGAGCAAUCUGUGUGACUGCGUACCUUUUGUAUAAUGGGUCAGCGACUUAUAUUCUGUAGCAAGGUUAACCGAAUAGGGGAGCCGAAGGGAAACCGAGUCUUAACUGGGCGUUAAGUUGCAGGGUAUAGACCCGAAACCCGGUGAUCUAGCCAUGGGCAGGUUGAAGGUUGGGUAACACUAACUGGAGGACCGAACCGACUAAUGUUGAAAAAUUAGCGGAUGACUUGUGGCUGGGGGUGAAAGGCCAAUCAAACCGGGAGAUAGCUGGUUCUCCCCGAAAGCUAUUUAGGUAGCGCCUCGUGAAUUCAUCUCCGGGGGUAGAGCACUGUUUCGGCAAGGGGGUCAUCCCGACUUACCAACCCGAUGCAAACUGCGAAUACCGGAGAAUGUUAUCACGGGAGACACACGGCGGGUGCUAACGUCCGUCGUGAAGAGGGAAACAACCCAGACCGCCAGCUAAGGUCCCAAAGUCAUGGUUAAGUGGGAAACGAUGUGGGAAGGCCCAGACAGCCAGGAUGUUGGCUUAGAAGCAGCCAUCAUUUAAAGAAAGCGUAAUAGCUCACUGGUCGAGUCGGCCUGCGCGGAAGAUGUAACGGGGCUAAACCAUGCACCGAAGCUGCGGCAGCGACGCUUAUGCGUUGUUGGGUAGGGGAGCGUUCUGUAAGCCUGUGAAGGUGUACUGUGAGGUAUGCUGGAGGUAUCAGAAGUGCGAAUGCUGACAUAAGUAACGAUAAAGCGGGUGAAAAGCCCGCUCGCCGGAAGACCAAGGGUUCCUGUCCAACGUUAAUCGGGGCAGGGUGAGUCGACCCCUAAGGCGAGGCCGAAAGGCGUAGUCGAUGGGAAACAGGUUAAUAUUCCUGUACUUGGUGUUACUGCGAAGGGGGGACGGAGAAGGCUAUGUUGGCCGGGCGACGGUUGUCCCGGUUUAAGCGUGUAGGCUGGUUUUCCAGGCAAAUCCGGAAAAUCAAGGCUGAGGCGUGAUGACGAGGCACUACGGUGCUGAAGCAACAAAUGCCCUGCUUCCAGGAAAAGCCUCUAAGCAUCAGGUAACAUCAAAUCGUACCCCAAACCGACACAGGUGGUCAGGUAGAGAAUACCAAGGCGCUUGAGAGAACUCGGGUGAAGGAACUAGGCAAAAUGGUGCCGUAACUUCGGGAGAAGGCACGCUGAUAUGUAGGUGAAGUCCCUCGCGGAUGGAGCUGAAAUCAGUCGAAGAUACCAGCUGGCUGCAACUGUUUAUUAAAAACACAGCACUGUGCAAACACGAAAGUGGACGUAUACGGUGUGACGCCUGCCCGGUGCCGGAAGGUUAAUUGAUGGGGUUAGCGCAAGCGAAGCUCUUGAUCGAAGCCCCGGUAAACGGCGGCCGUAACUAUAACGGUCCUAAGGUAGCGAAAUUCCUUGUCGGGUAAGUUCCGACCUGCACGAAUGGCGUAAUGAUGGCCAGGCUGUCUCCACCCGAGACUCAGUGAAAUUGAACUCGCUGUGAAGAUGCAGUGUACCCGCGGCAAGACGGAAAGACCCCGUGAACCUUUACUAUAGCUUGACACUGAACAUUGAGCCUUGAUGUGUAGGAUAGGUGGGAGGCUUUGAAGUGUGGACGCCAGUCUGCAUGGAGCCGACCUUGAAAUACCACCCUUUAAUGUUUGAUGUUCUAACGUUGACCCGUAAUCCGGGUUGCGGACAGUGUCUGGUGGGUAGUUUGACUGGGGCGGUCUCCUCCUAAAGAGUAACGGAGGAGCACGAAGGUUGGCUAAUCCUGGUCGGACAUCAGGAGGUUAGUGCAAUGGCAUAAGCCAGCUUGACUGCGAGCGUGACGGCGCGAGCAGGUGCGAAAGCAGGUCAUAGUGAUCCGGUGGUUCUGAAUGGAAGGGCCAUCGCUCAACGGAUAAAAGGUACUCCGGGGAUAACAGGCUGAUACCGCCCAAGAGUUCAUAUCGACGGCGGUGUUUGGCACCUCGAUGUCGGCUCAUCACAUCCUGGGGCUGAAGUAGGUCCCAAGGGUAUGGCUGUUCGCCAUUUAAAGUGGUACGCGAGCUGGGUUUAGAACGUCGUGAGACAGUUCGGUCCCUAUCUGCCGUGGGCGCUGGAGAACUGAGGGGGGCUGCUCCUAGUACGAGAGGACCGGAGUGGACGCAUCACUGGUGUUCGGGUUGUCAUGCCAAUGGCACUGCCCGGUAGCUAAAUGCGGAAGAGAUAAGUGCUGAAAGCAUCUAAGCACGAAACUUGCCCCGAGAUGAGUUCUCCCUGACUCCUUGAGAGUCCUGAAGGAACGUUGAAGACGACGACGUUGAUAGGCCGGGUGUGUAAGCGCAGCGAUGCGUUGAGCUAACCGGUACUAAUGAACCGUGAGGCUUAACCUUACAACGCCGAAGGUGUUU